UUUUGCUUGAGUCUAUGGCAUCAGUCAGCUGAUAAGGGCAUUUCUGCAGAAAACAGAAUGUCAUUGUCAACUUCUAAAUCUCGGGACUGGGAUGGAGACCACCUUCUGGAGAUUAAAGAUGUUCAUGCAGUUGAUCCCAAGGAAAACCCUGGGUGGCCAAGGGGUAGAAGGAAGAGCUGAAGUCCUCCAGCACCAUGGAAUCUGGCAAUGCACUGUGGACUGAAGCCUCCACCUCCACCUGCAGAGUGUCCCAAAUCAGCAUCAUCAGCCUUGGAGUUUCCGUUGUGGCAAUGGUUGUAUGGUUUCAAGUCUCCUGGUGUAAGUCAAGUGGGAAUUGAUCCCUUCACUGUACCACAGGGGUCCCCCAUAUGUUUUCCCCAUAAUCCUGAGGAUCAGGAUCUUGUGCCAAACAGAUUAGGCAAUGGGGUGGUCAGUGGAAAGGCACAAGACCCACAGCCUAGUCGUUGAUGAAGCAAAACCAUCUUCUGCUACAGCCCUACCUUCUCUCAGUAAGCCUCCUUUGCACCCACAAAGACUGUUUCCCUUCCCCCCUUUUCCCUCUCUACAGAUUUCCUCAGGAUAGAUUUUCAUUUCUAACCACACAAAGCCAUGAGAUUUUGUUUCUGUCCCCAUCUAAUCACAUGGUGCACAUGUUCUGCAUGUUUAUGGGGGAAAGGGAGCUGGUUUGGUCAGCCCACAGAUGGCCAUCCUCUUCUUGUGGGAAUGCCAGUCCAUCUCCCAGUGUUCGAGUCCACAGCCAGGAAAAUCAUUCUGUCUAUGGCCAGAGUCAGAGCCUCAAGCCCCUGAAUCACAAGAUUAGUCUAUCGACGAGCUGGGGAGCAACAACACUACGAGAAA
Long non-coding RNA from Mustela lutreola (European mink), 858 nucleotides. RefSeq lists it as uncharacterized. The record is from RefSeq and is a predicted model, not a curated record. The transcript has 3 exons. Lineage: Eukaryota; Metazoa; Chordata; Mammalia; Carnivora; Mustelidae.